GUGGCAUGGAAAGCCUCUCGAUCGGCUCACUUUUCUGGCAGUUUUUGAGUGGUAAAAUUUCAAGGUGAACAUCAUCCUUCAAGGUCUAGGGAUCAAAAAAAUAAAUCCAAGGGAAGUAAUAAGCUUUAAAUGGACAUAAUUAUCUGACCUGCCAAAUUAUAUAUUUGUUUUAAAUAAAUCAAAGUGGCACAGUAGGCGGCAUUGUGUUUCUAACAAACAAAUCGUGGUAAAAGGUCAAGGUCAUCAUUCAAGGUCUAAGGUCAUAAAUACAAAUCAAAGUGAAGUAAUAAGCUUGAAAGGGAGAUAAUUAUUCAAUAUUGAAAUAGCAACUUGAUAUUUGGCAUGCAUGUGUAUCUCAUGGAGCUGCACAUUGAGUGGUGAAUCUACAGUCACGGCCUUGGUUGUCAGUGAUGUCUGACUUGGUCAUUUUGACUGUCUACAGACCCCUACCCCCUGGUUGGAUUGGACAAAAUCCAAGGGAAGUAAUAAGCUUUAAAGGGAGAUGAUUUGUAUACCUGCCAAAUGAUAAAUAGAAAAAUUAUUUUAUAGCAGCGCAGUAGGGGGCAUUGUGUUUCUGACGAACACAUCUCUUGUUUGUCUUUGAACUUUCUUCCUCUCUGGAGGCCACAUGAUGACAAAUGGUCCAAAUUGUUAUCUCUGCUAAGUUUGAAUCAGGGUCAUUUGCAUCUGAAAACUAGGUCACCAGGUAUUUGAAAACUAGGUCACCAGGUAUUUGAAAACUAGGUCACCAGGUAUUUGAAAACUAGGUCACCAGGUAUUGAAAAACUAGGUCACCAGGUAUUUGAAAACUAGGUCACCAGGUAUUUGAAAACUAGGUCACCAGGUAGUGGAAAACUAGGUCACCAGGUAUUUGAAAACUAGGUCACCAGGUAUUUGAAAACUAGGUCACCAGGUAUUUGAAAACUAGGUCACCAGGUAUUUGAAAAUACAUUUAACAAGUCUUUAAUCUUGAUGUAUGUAUUACUCAACCUCAAUCAAAUAUUUGAACAUAUCAAGGACAUUUGAUUAUGGUUAAGUUUAAAAAAAAACACUUGUCAAGUCUUCGACAAUUAUUGUACUUUGAACACAAAUGAGUGCUAUUCAGCCGUCAUGGACAUCUUGUUCUUAAAAAAAAAAGAUUUUAGAAACUUGGGCAUGAAGGUUGUUUAAAUACAACUUAUGUCCUUAAAGGGACAAGUACAUGUUUUUAAAUGCUUAAUAUCAUCAGUUAUGUAAUCCUGGUAUAUAACUUUGUAAAACUGGAUGAAAUUUAUUCAUUAAUGCAC
Long non-coding RNA from Dreissena polymorpha, 1286 nucleotides. RefSeq lists it as uncharacterized. The transcript is spliced from 3 exons. The record is from RefSeq and is a predicted model, not a curated record. NCBI's taxonomy places the organism in Eukaryota, Metazoa, Mollusca, Bivalvia, Myida, Dreissenidae.